AUACGUAGGGGGCGAGCGUUGUCCGGAAUGAUUGGGCGUAAAGGGCGCGUAGGCGGCCCGGUAAGUCUGGAGUGAAAGUCCUGUUUUUAAGAUGGGAAUUGCUUUGGAUACUGUCGGGCUUGAGUGCAGGAGAGGUAAGUGGAAUUCCCAGUGUAGCGGUGAAAUGCGUAGAGAUUGGGAGGAACACCAGUGGCGAAGGCGACUUACUGGACUGUAACUGACGCUAAGGCGCGAAAGUGUGGGGAGCAAACAGGAUUAGAUACCCUGGUAGUCCACACUGUAAACGAUGAAUGCUAGGUGUAAGAGGUAUCGACCCCUUUUGUGCCGGAGUCAACACAAUAAGCAUUCCGCCUGGGGAGUACGGCCGCAAGGUUGAAACUCAAAUGAAUUGACGG
This 395-nucleotide ribosomal RNA is filed under the name uncultured bacterium. RNAcentral describes it as "partial 16S ribosomal RNA". It matches the Rfam family "Bacterial small subunit ribosomal RNA", at positions 523 to 916 of the family's 1533-position model. The record is from RNAcentral.